GAAUCUUGCGCAAUGGCCGAAAGGCUGACGCAGCGACGCCGCGUGCGGGAGGAAGCCCUUCGGGGUGUAAACCGCUGUCACCGGGGACGAAGGUCAUGGGAGCGAACAGCUCUCAUGUGUGACGGUACCCGGGGAGGAAGCGCCGGCUAACUCCGUGCCAGCAGCCGCGGUAAGACGGAGGGCGCGAGAGUUGUCCGGAAUCACUGGGCGUAAAGCGCGCGCAGGCGGACUCGUGCGUCGGGAGUGAAAGCCCGGGGCUCAACCCCGGAGUUUGCUUCCGAUACGGCGGGUCUAGGGACCGGCAGAGGCCGGUGGAAUUCCCGGUGUAGCGGUGGAAUGCGUAGAGAUCGGGAAGAACACCAGUGGCGAAGGCGGCCGGCUGGGCCGGUGAGCCCUCUUUCGGGAGGGUGUCCGACGCUCAUGCGCGAAAGCGUGGGGAGCAAAC
RNAcentral lists this ribosomal RNA (445 nucleotides) under uncultured bacterium. RNAcentral describes it as "bacterial SSU rRNA". It matches the Rfam family "Bacterial small subunit ribosomal RNA", at positions 359 to 773 of the family's 1533-position model. The record is from RNAcentral.